GUUGCCUCGGCGGAUCAGCCCGCUCCCGGUAAAACGGGACGGCCCGCCAGAGGACCCCUAAACUCUGUUUCUAUAUGUAACUUCUGAGUAAAACCAUAAAUAAAUCAAAACUUUCAACAACGGAUCUCUUGGUUCUGGCAUCGAUGAAGAACGCAGCAAAAUGCGAUAAGUAAUGUGAAUUGCAGAAUUCAGUGAAUCAUCGAAUCUUUGAACGCACAUUGCGCCUGCCAGUAUUCUGGCGGGCAUGCCUGUUCGAGCGUCAUUUCAACCCUCAAGCACAGCUUGGUGUUGGGACUCGCGUUAAUUCGCGUUCCCCAAAUUGAUUGGCGGUCACGUCGAGCUUCCAUAGCGUAGUAGUAAAACCCUCGUUACUGGUAAUCGUCGCGGCCACGCCGUUAAACCCCAACUUCUGAAUGUUGACCUCGGAUCAGGUAGGAAUA
RNAcentral lists this ribosomal RNA (440 nucleotides) under Fusarium oxysporum f. sp. lycopersici. RNAcentral describes it as "eukaryotic LSU rRNA". The stretch from base 109 to 262 matches the Rfam family "5.8S ribosomal RNA". Lineage: Eukaryota; Fungi; Ascomycota; Sordariomycetes; Hypocreales; Nectriaceae. The record is from RNAcentral.